GCAAUGCCCAGAAAAGGGCAAGACUUGAGGUUGGAGAGCCAAGGUCAGGAAGAUCUCCCAAGUCACUCUAGGUAGUUGGAGCUUCAUCCCUGAGAGCAGUGGAGAGCCACGGAAGGGUUUUGAGCAGGUUAGAUGAGUACUGUGUGUUUUAGGAGAAUCCCUCGGGCUGCCUCUGCGUGGAAGUGGAUUUGAACCAGGUUGGAGGCGGUUGCUGCGAUUUUUCCUCCACUUACAGGUAGCGUAGGCUAAGGGAGGACCCUUGGUGAGCCGGGCAAGGAUGGAUGUCAGCCCUCUUGGUAGCUCAGUGCAGUGAACCAGCACCUCUGGAUAGGACCCAGAAUAUAGGGUAGGGGAGACUAUGAAGACUAAAAAUAUUCAAGGAAUAUUUAGGAGAUGGAGUCUAUCAGCCUUAGGGAGUAAGGACAGCAAAAGGGAGGCAUCCAGGAUGACACUGGGAUUCUGGUUUAGGUGACUAAGAGAAGGAUGUCACCACAUCUGACACAUAAAAUGCAAGAGGAAGACAAGAACGAAGUUGGAUUUCUACCCAAAUCUGUGUCUCUUGAUUUGAAAUUCCUAAAAAUAUCCAACACACCCAAAUAAAACUUUUGUUUGCCUCGCA
Long non-coding RNA from Pipistrellus kuhlii (Kuhl's pipistrelle), 619 nucleotides. RefSeq lists it as uncharacterized. The record is from RefSeq and is a predicted model, not a curated record. Lineage: Eukaryota; Metazoa; Chordata; Mammalia; Chiroptera; Vespertilionidae. The transcript has 2 exons.